RNAcentral lists this ribosomal RNA (482 nucleotides) under uncultured bacterium. Its description in RNAcentral is "partial 16S ribosomal RNA". It matches the Rfam family "Bacterial small subunit ribosomal RNA", at positions 28 to 507 of the family's 1533-position model. The record is from RNAcentral.
GAUGAACGCUCGCGGCAGGCCUAAUACAUGCAAGUCGGACGGAAAUCCUGAGCUUUCCUCUGAUGAGAGAUGCGCACGGGUGCGUAAGACGUAUGUAAUGUACCUUUAUCAGGGGGAUAGGCUCUCUAAAGGGAUAUUAAGCCCGCAUAAAAUCACAGCACAGCAUUGUGUAAUGAUCAAAUGUUUAUAGGAACAAGAUUAGCAUGCGGAACAUUAGCUAGAUGGCGGGGUAACGGCCCCCCAUGGCGACGAUGUUUAGGGGAUCUGAGAGGAUGGCCCCCCACACUGGUACUGCGACACGGACCAGACUCCUCCGGCAGGCAGCAGUAAGGAAUAUUGGUCAGUGGGCGGCAGCCUGAACCAGCCAUGCCGCGUGCAGGAAGACGGCCCUACGGGUUGUAACCUGCUUUUAUACGGGAAUAAACCCAGAUACGUGUAUCUGGCUGAAUGUACUGUAAGAAUAAGGCUCGGCUAACUCCGUG